RNAcentral lists this ribosomal RNA (250 nucleotides) under uncultured bacterium. RNAcentral's name for it is "partial 16S ribosomal RNA". It matches the Rfam family "Bacterial small subunit ribosomal RNA", at positions 28 to 273 of the family's 1533-position model. The record is from RNAcentral.
GAUGAACGCUAGCGGCAGGCUUAAUACAUGCAAGUCGAGGGGCAGCGCGGGGUAGCAAUACUCUGGCGGCGACCGGCAAACGGGUGCGGAACACGUACGCAACCUUCCCAAAACUGGUGAAUAGCCCUCCGAAAGGAGGAUUAAUACACCGUAACAUAACGAGGAGGCAUCUCUUUGUUAUUAUAGCUCCGGCGGUUUUGGAUGGGCGUGCGGCUGAUUAGGUAGUUGGCGGGGUAACGGCCCACCAAGC